Long non-coding RNA from Quercus lobata, 849 nucleotides. RefSeq lists it as uncharacterized. The record is from RefSeq and is a predicted model, not a curated record. The transcript is spliced from 3 exons. NCBI's taxonomy places the organism in Eukaryota, Viridiplantae, Streptophyta, Magnoliopsida, Fagales, Fagaceae.
GCCCGAGACUCACACAUUCCACAUGCCGCAUGGUGAGGUCACCAUCACACUGCAGGAUGUGGAGGUUCUUCUUGGACUUCCUGUUGAUGGUGACGUUGUAACUGGGAGCACACAAAAAGAAUGGGAGAAUGUGUGUGAUGAGUACCUUGGCUUUCGACCUACCAAUGAAGACCAUCUGGAACGUGCUGGCCAAAGGAUUCUCAUAAAACGGCUUUUGGAGCAAGUUGCCCAUCCACUGCCGCCUAAUGCUGAAGACGAUGAAGUGCAUAGGUACGCACGAUGCUACAUCCUAGCGCUAUUGGGGGACACAAUCUUCAUGGACAAAUCCGGUGAUAGGGUGCAUCUAAUGUGGGUGCAGCAGUUGGAAGACCUUCGCAACCCAUGAAGGUAUAGUUGGGGAAGUGCUUGCCUUGCAUGGUUGUACCGACAGUUAUGCAGGGCAAGCGAUAAGAAAGCUAGUCAGAUUGGUGGGUGUUUAUUGUUGGUCCAGUAUUGGGCGUGGGCCAGAUUCCCCUUUUUGUGCCCGGCAGUUGAGCGUGGCCCACCAGUGGGUGCUUAUGGUCCUCCAGUGCGUGGUCCACUGUCCCUUAAGUGGGUGUGGGUCCCAAAUAAGAAAAAUAGGCCCGCCCAGGUCUUCAGGGACAGGUAUCGGGAGCAAAUAGCUUUAAUGUUGCCAAACCAGGUGGUGUGACAGCCGUAUGAAGAUGAAUACGAUAACCUUCCGCCGUGGUGCGUUGUAGGGAGGGCAGUGUGGACGGCAAUCGUGCCGCUUGUAUGUUUCCAUCUAGUAGAGAAACAUACACCGGAUCGUGUCGUUCGGCAAUUUGGGAUGAUCCAAGAAAUUCCCCG